RNAcentral lists this ribosomal RNA (167 nucleotides) under uncultured Polaromonas sp. Its description in RNAcentral is "partial 16S ribosomal RNA". Lineage: Bacteria; Pseudomonadati; Pseudomonadota; Betaproteobacteria; Burkholderiales; Comamonadaceae. The record is from RNAcentral.
ACCCCUUAAAACCUGUUACUUGCCUUGCGUUCGGACUAGGUCGUUACGGCGCACGUCCUUCUUCCGGAAGCCCAACAUUUGACGAAAACAUGCCUUGCUUUUCCAGGACUGUUUAUGGGCCCCGACUAAUGGCAUGGCAAUGUUAUUCGUGAUCGAGGAUGGACGGG